GCUACGGGGGGCAGCAGUGAGGAAUAUUGGUCAAUGGACGCAAGUCUGAACCAGCCAUGCCGCGUGCAGGAAGACGGCUCUAUGAGUUGUCAACUGCUUUUGUACGAGGGUAAACGCAGAUACGCGUAUCUGUCUGAAAGUAUCGUACGAAUAAGGAUCGGCUAACUCCGUGCCAGCAGCCGCGGUAAAACGGAGGAUUCAAGCGUUAUCCGGCUUUAUUGGGUUUAAAGGGUGCGUAGGCGGUCGGAUAAGUUAGAGGUGAAAUCCCGAGGCUCAACUUCGGAAUUGCCUCUGAAAAUGUUCGUCUAGCGAGUAGUUGCGGUAUGCGGAAUGUGUGGUGUAGCGGUGAAAUGCUUAGAGAUCAUACAGAACACCGAUUGCGAAGGCAGCUUCCCAAGCUACUUCUGACGUUGAGGCACGAAAGCGUGGGGAGCAAACAGGAUUAGAUACCCGAGUAGUC
This 460-nucleotide ribosomal RNA is filed under the name uncultured bacterium. RNAcentral describes it as "partial 16S ribosomal RNA". It matches the Rfam family "Bacterial small subunit ribosomal RNA", at positions 338 to 795 of the family's 1533-position model. The record is from RNAcentral.